Molecule: ribosomal RNA, 600 nt
Filed under: uncultured bacterium
Lineage: Bacteria
Description: bacterial SSU rRNA
Rfam family: Bacterial small subunit ribosomal RNA
Source: RNAcentral
UAAAGGUAUUCCGGUAGACGAUGGGGAUGCGUUCCAUUAGAUAGUAGGCGGGGUAACGGCCCACCUAGUCUUCGAUGGAUAGGGGUUCUGAGAGGAAGGUCCCCCACAUUGGAACUGAGACACGGUCCAAACUCCUACGGGAGGCAGCAGUGAGGAAUAUUGGUCAAUGGGCGAGAGCCUGAACCAGCCAAGUAGCGUGAAGGAUGACUGCCCUAUGGGUUGUAAACUUCUUUUAUAAAGGAAUAAAGUCGGGUAUGGAUACCCGUUUGCAUGUACUUUAUGAAUAAGGAUCGGCUAACUCCGUGCCAGCAGCCGCGGUAAUACGGAGGAUCCGAGCGUUAUCCGGAUUUAUUGGGUUUAAAGGGAGCGUAGAUGGAUGUUUAAGUCAGUUGUGAAAGUUUGCGGCUCAACCGUAAAAUUGCAGUUGAUACUGGAUAUCUUGAGUGCAGUUGAGGCAGGCGGAAUUCGUGGUGUAGCGGUGAAAUGCUUAGAUAUCACGAAGAACUCCGAUUGCGAAGGCAGCCUGCUAAGCUGCAACUGACAUUGAGGCUCGAAAGUGUGGGUAUCAAACAGGAUUAGAUACCCUGGUAGUCCACACGG